AAAAAAGGUAAGCUACUAAGAGCGAAUGGUGGAUGCCUUGACUGGUAAAGGCGAUGAAGGACGUACUAGACUGCGAUAAGCUACGGGGAGCUGUCAAGAAGCUUUGAUCCGUAGAUUUCCGAAUGGGGCAACCCAAUGUAUAGAGAUAUACAUUACCUAUAUAGGAGCGAACGAGGGGAAUUGAAACAUCUUAGUACCCUCAGGAAAAGAAAUCAAUAGAGAUUGCGUCAGUAGCGGCGAGCGAAAGCGCAAGAGGGCAAACCCAGUGCUUGCACUGGGGGUUGUAGGACUGCAAUGUGCAAGAGGUGAGUUUAGCAGAACAUUCUGGAAAGUAUAGCCAUAGAGGGUGAUAGUCCCGUAUGCGAAAAACAAACCUUAGCUAGCAGUAUCCUGAGUAGGGCGGGACACGAGAAAUCCUGUCUGAAGCUGGGUCGACCACGAUCCAACCCUAAAUACUAAUACCAGAUCGAUAGUGCACAAGUACCGUGAGGGAAAGGUGAAAAGAACUGAGGUGAUCAGAGUGAAAUAGAACCUGAAACCAUUUGCUUACAAUCAUUCAGAGCCCUAUGUAGCAAUACAGGGUGAUGGACUGCCUUUUGCAUAAUGAGCCUGCGAGUUGUGGUGUCUGGCAAGGUUAAGCAAACGCGAAGCCGUAGCGAAAGCGAGUCUGAAUAGGGCGCUUAGUCAGAUGCUGCAGACCCGAAACGAAGUGAUCUAUCCAUGAGCAAGUUGAAGCUAGUGUAAGAACUAGUGGAGGACUGAACCCAUAGGCGUUGAAAAGCCCCGGGAUGACUUGUGGAUAGGGGUGAAAGGCCAAUCAAACUUCGUGAUAGCUGGUUCUCUCCGAAAUAUAUUUAGGUAUAGCGUUGUGUCGUAAUAUAAGGGGGUAGAGCACUGAAUGGGCUAGGGCAUACACCAAUGUACCAAACCCUAUCAAACUCCGAAUACCUUAUAUGUAAUCACAGCAGUCAGGCGGCGAGUGAUAAAAUCCGUCGUCAAGAGGGAAACAACCCAGACUACCAGCUAAGGUCCCUAAAUCUUACUUAAGUGGAAAACGAUGUGAAGUUACUUAAACAACCAGGAGGUUGGCUUAGAAGCAGCCAUCCUUUAAAGAAAGCGUAAUAGCUCACUGGUCUAGUGAUUUUGCGCGGAAAAUAUAACGGGGCUAAAGUAAGUACCGAAGCUGUAGACUUGCGCACAACUUAGAUUAUUUAAGUUUAGAAUAUGAGAAACUAAGUUAUAUGUUUAGUUAUAUUUUUACUGAUUUUUAUAGAGUAAAGAUAGAAAUAAAACUUAGUAAAAUCAGUAAAAAUAUUCUUAGACUAAAGUUAAGUAGUUUAAGUUGUGUGCAAGUGGUAGGAGAGCGUUCUAUUUGCGUCGAAGGUAUACCGGUAAGGAGUGCUGGAGCGAAUAGAAGUGAGCAUGCAGGCAUGAGUAGCGAUAAUUAAUGUGAGAAUCAUUAACGCCGUAAACCCAAGGUUUCCUACGCGAUGCUCGUCAUCGUAGGGUUAGUCGGGUCCUAAGCCGAGUCCGAAAGGGGUAGGCGAUGGCAAAUUGGUUAAUAUUCCAAUACCAACAUUAGUGUGCGAUGGAAGGACGCUUAGGGCUAAGGGGGCUAGCGGAUGGAAGUGCUAGUCUAAGGUCGUAGGAGGUUAUACAGGCAAAUCCGUAUAACAAUACUCCGAGAACUGAAAGGCUUUUUGAAGUCUUCGGAUGGAUAGAAGAACCCCUGAUGCCGUCGAGCCAAGAAAAGUUUCUAAGUUUAGCUAAUGUUGCCCGUACCGUAAACCGACACAGGUGGGUGGGAUGAGUAUUCUAAGGCGCGUGGAAGAACUCUCUUUAAGGAACUCUGCAAAAUAGCACCGUAUCUUCGGUAUAAGGUGUGGUUCGCUUCGUACUAGGAUUUACUCCGAAAGCGAAGAAACUUACAACAAAGAGUCCCUCCCGACUGUUUACCAAAAACACAGCACUCUGCUAACUCGUAAGAGGAUGUAUAGGGUGUGACGCCUGCCCGGUGCUCGAAGGUUAAUUGAUGGGGUUAGCAUUAGCGAAGCUCUUGAUCGAAGCCCGAGUAAACGGCGGCCGUAACUAUAACGGUCCUAAGGUAGCGAAAUUCCUUGUCGGUUAAAUACCGACCUGCAUGAAUGGCGUAACGAGAUGGGAGCUGUCUCAAAGAGGGAUCCAGUGAAAUUGUAGUGGAGGUGAAAAUUCCUCCUACCCGCGGCAAGACGGAAAGACCCCGUGGACCUUUACUACAGCUUGACACUGCUACUUGGAUAAGAAUGUGCAGGAUAGGUGGGAGGCUUUGAGUAUAUGACGCCAGUUGUAUAUGAGCCAUUGUUGAGAUACCACUCUUUCUUAUUUGGGUAGCUAACCAGCUUGAGUUAUCCUCAAGUGGGACAAUGUCUGGUGGGUAG
This 2417-nucleotide ribosomal RNA is filed under the name Campylobacter coli. RNAcentral's name for it is "partial 23S ribosomal RNA". It matches the Rfam family "Bacterial large subunit ribosomal RNA", at positions 1 to 2268 of the family's 2925-position model. Lineage: Bacteria; Pseudomonadati; Campylobacterota; Epsilonproteobacteria; Campylobacterales; Campylobacteraceae. The record is from RNAcentral.